Long non-coding RNA from Nannospalax galili (Upper Galilee mountains blind mole rat), 1598 nucleotides. RefSeq lists it as uncharacterized. The record is from RefSeq and is a predicted model, not a curated record. NCBI's taxonomy places the organism in Eukaryota, Metazoa, Chordata, Mammalia, Rodentia, Spalacidae. The transcript has 4 exons.
CGGAAUAAAAUAAAAUAGUUAUAAGUAACUGCUAUCGUCAUGAUCUUCUUUAAAAAGAGAAUGGAAAGUAUUACUUUAAGGGUUCUUUGGGUAGGAAGGUAGAUGCCAGAAUUUUGUUUAUUAGUUGGCACUCAGGUUGAGGGGGAAAAGCGGACAACAGCUAUUUUUUAAGAGAGAAUACGAAGGCCUAUUACUUCUUCAGUGAAGGAGAAGGAAGGGCCAAAAAAAGAAGAGAGUUGUGCUACAUCAAAUGAAAGGCCAAGAGCUGUCUCUUGUGAUAUAACCAAAGGAAAUUUAAAGAAACCAAAGAAGACAUUUCAGGUUUUGAAUGGAGCACAAGAGAGAACAAGUGUAGAGAUAGAGGGCUAAGCACUCAAGAAGCCAGGAGAGUGAAAAUACUGUCUCUCCUUCACCAAGUUUUACAAAUUGUGGAGAACAUAACAUGGUGAAGAUUUUGUACUUGCUUUGGGGAAAGUGUUUGAUCUGCGCUGGAUACAAUUUAUAACCCAUCUCUACCUACGUGUACCGCCUACAAAACUAGUGUGCUUUAACUCUGAGCAUGGCUGAUCUGAUUACCCCCAAUAUUGUUUUGCCAUCUUCUCUGUGGUGAACACACUCUAUGGCAACUUGUACUUAAGGAAGUAUCAAGUCCAGGAUUGUUGGUCUCCUUUUCUGACGAUGCAGGCUGUGAGAUGAGAAGGCUUUGUUACUGGAAAUGGCCCAUGCCAUUAUGAAAGCUGACACAUCAAAGGAAAGGAAAACCAGGGAAGCUGUUGGCACAGCUCUGUCCUAGACUGUAGACCUGACAAUGCCAGGACGCCUCAGGUGCACAUCAAGAGCCCAAAUGCUGAGGAAUCCAAGGGCAGAAGAGUGUGCCCCAGCUCCGGAAGAAAGCAAGCUGCUUGGCCUCUCUCCACCUUCUCGCUCUACCUGGGCUCUCGUGCAUUAGAUGGUACUGGCCCACACCCUGGGAGUGGAUUGUUCUCAUCUGUCAGUCUUGAUAGGCAUACCCAAAACAGAUGCUUCAGUAUAGUCAAGGUGAACUCACCUAGACUGUGUAAUGGCUGUUCGACAACUGGCUCUGCUUGAUGAAUUCUGUGGUGAGGGGAAACACUUUGGAAGUUAGUUUGCUUCUUGAUUCAAGACAGAUUAUAUACUUUUUUUCUAGUUCAUCUCUUCGCUGAAGACAUAAUUCUUUGCAAGUCCCAGGACCUGAAUCUUAACUCUUGGAGUAGCAGAGAACUGACUUUUUCUAAGCCCAAACUGAAGCUCCAAAUUGCGGGAACCAGCAGGGGUUUUACUGCUUGCAAAGGGACUCCUCCCAGAAUCCUGGGCCUCUGAUGGCUCUAUAACUUUUCUUCCCUUUUCCAUCUCAGGCAUGAACUAAAACAUGUUUUUCAAUCUGUAUCUACUACUUUUAGGUGCUGUGUAGCAGGGCAGAUUUUUCAGGAUAUUUACUCUGCCAAUGCUGUUGGAAAAGGAAGUCUCUGUCUCCUCUUCACCUUCCUGUAACCAAGUUUUGCCCUUAGCAUUUUACAGUCCACUCUUGUUAAGGUCACCAAUGACAUCAUAAUUUCUAAAUAAAGUAAAUAAUCAUC